AAGCAAUGCUGUGUGGAAUACUUUCACAAUGGAUAAGACAUUCUAUAAGUAUGUGGAUGUUAGUUUGAGGAGCAACAUUGUGUGUAAGGAAGGCAAAUCCAAAUCCAGAGUAAACGUCUGUUCCAGUGAGAACAAAAGGCUGCCCCUUCCAUGAUGGAAGUGGUCCAAAGUAAUCUUCCUGCCGCCAGGUAGCUGGCCGAUCAUCCUGGGGAAUGGUGCCAUAUCAGGGAUUUAGCGUUGGUCUCUGCUGUUGGCAGAUUGGGCACUCAGCGGUGGCUGUAGCCAGGUUGGCCUUGGUAAAUACAAGAACAUUUUUCUGAGCUCAUGCAUAACCUCCAUCCCUACCACCAUGGCAACAUUGUUUAGGAGCACGUUGGGUGAUAACAGGCCUGGCUGGAGAAAGAGGCGUACCGAAUGGGUCAUCCUGUCAACUUUGAUUAUUAAAAUUCUCCUCUGCUAAGGUCAUUCUUGGGUGAGCAUUCACAAGGGAUACAAAUAUCUUCACCUUUUUUGACCCAUUCAGAAAAGUCAAUCCACAUACCUCUUCCCCAAAUCUUUAUCACCAGUUUUCCAAUCUUGUUUCCAAGUUCCUGGCCAUCCAAAACCAUUGGUGAUAGCCUAUGAAUCAGUACACACUUUCACGUCUGUCCAUUUAUCCUUCCAAGGAAAGUGAACAGACAGGUGCACGGCUUGAAGUUCUGCCAUUAAUAGGAUUUCCCUUCCCCAGUGUCCUUCACAGAUGUUCCAGAAAGGGGCUGUAGAGCUUCAGCUGUCCUCUUUCAGGUGGGUACCUGUAUAUCACGCAGAAUCAUCUGUAAACCAGAUCUGAGUCUUCUCUUCCUCUGUCAACUGAUCAUAGAGAAUUUCUCAUGUAGCUAUAUGUGCAGACUGGGAGAGAGAAGACAAUAUAGCAGGAGUAGGUAUCAUGGACAUUUGGGCCACUUCAUGUAACUUACUUAUGCUGUCAGGGCCUGCUCAUUCCUGAUCAUGUAUGUACCAUCUCCAUUUUAUGAGGGAGUGUUGCUAUGCAUUCCCAACUUUAUGGCCUGGGGUUAACAGUUCAGACUACUAAGGCCCAGUAGCAGGUCAAGAGCUGUUUCUCAAAAGGAGAGUUAUUUGCAGAGGAUGGCAGAGUUUUGCUGUAAAAUCCUGAGGACCUGUUCGGCAAAUCACCUGGAGGGGCCUGCCAAAGGCUUCAAAUACCAUCCCUAUCUGCCGCUAACACUCUAAGUACCAUUGGCUCUCCUGGAUCAUAUGGCCCAAGCUACAGAGCAGUUUGUACAACAGCCUGGACCUGUUGCACAGUCUUCUCUUGUUCUGGGCACCACUCAAAACUAACAGCUUUUCAGAUCACUGGGUAAAUGAGCCAGAGUAAGACACCCAAAUAAGGAAUAUGUUGCCUCUGAAAUUCAACGAGUUUCGCUAGGUGCUAUGCCUCUUUUUUGGUUGUAGGAGUGGCCAGAUGCAACAAAUUAUCCUUCACCUUAGAAAGAAUAUCCUGACAUGCCUCAUACCAAUAGGCCCCUAGAAAUGUCGCUGAGAUAGAGGCCUCUGAGUUUGGUCAGAUUUAUUUCCCACCCUCUGGCACAUAAGUAUUUACCAAUUAGUACUUCUGCUAAUACUGACUUAAAGAAUAAGUGGCUCCUCGUUGCUCACUAAAUUCAAUCAGCAUAAUAGUAUCAAUGUGAGGGACCAGUGUAAUAGCUUGUGGAAAGAAAACGUGGGUCAAGAUUCCCAUGAACUAAAUUAUGACAUAGGGCUGGAGAAUCAGUAUAUUCUUGAUGUAGGACAGCAAAAGUGUAUCAUUGGCCUUGCCAGCUGAAAACUAACUGCUUCCGGUUGGUUUUAUUGAACAGGGAAGGAGAAAAAAAGGCAUUUUCCAGAUCAACAGUGGGAUACCAGUUACCAGAGAAUAUGUUGUCUAUCUCCAACAAUGAAACCACAUCUGGUACUCCAGCUGCAAUUGGAGUCACCACCUGGUUAAGCUUAUGAUAAACUACUGUCAUUCUCCAAGAUCCAUUUAUCUUCUGAACAAGCCAAAUAGGGGAGUUGAAUGGGAAUGCGGUGGGAAUCAACGCCCCUGUAAUCAUUCCUAAGGAGAAUUACAAUGAAAAUUGAACUCCCAGCUUGGAAGAGUGUUUACUUUUAAGUGAGAGCAUUGACUGGGAAAGAAUAGUAUCUUGUAAAUUAGGAUGGUGACAUAUGGGAAAACUGAUGAAGCUGGAGACUGGAAGUCAAGAGGCCACUUCUACUGGCAAAGAAGUCCCAUUCCCACACGUGUCCUCAGCUUGCAAUUUACCUAGCCACAGGAUGAGAUUCUGUGUUUGAUUUUCAGCAAUCUCAGACUUGCUGCUAUAGGAGAUAAGAGUCUCUCUCAGGCCACACAAAGAAGGCUUGAGGUCAAUUUUUAUGGUUCUUGUGCUGGGAAUUCAAAUUUCCAGGCUCAUUCUUUCCUUUCACCACUUUGUCCAAGGACAUUAG
Molecule: long non-coding RNA, 2481 nt
Filed under: Equus caballus (horse)
Lineage: Eukaryota; Metazoa; Chordata; Mammalia; Perissodactyla; Equidae
Description: lncRNA (ENSECAG00000059272.1)
Source: RNAcentral